RNAcentral lists this long non-coding RNA (6336 nucleotides) under Triticum aestivum (bread wheat). Its description in RNAcentral is "long non-coding RNA (TAES_LNC001578)". Lineage: Eukaryota; Viridiplantae; Streptophyta; Magnoliopsida; Poales; Poaceae. The record is from RNAcentral.
GACCUUGACAAAUUUCAUUUCAUCUUCUAUGCUUUUUUUCCGCUCAUCUUAUAGGUCGAAGGAGCUCCCUUCAGUUCAAUGGAUUCAACAAAAUAGCUGCCACUACAUCCUGAGUUCAAGGGAUUCCUUAGGGGCCUUCUACACCGUCUUGCUAAUGUUGCCAUUGCUUGACGCCACAACCAUGCUCGUCGUUCUUGUGCUGCCAUUCACAUACUGCUCCCUGCUUUACUCCACUGAGAUCCAUAGGAAUAAGUUAUAUUCAGUUCGCCACUUUUACAAUUGAUGGUCCUAUGUUAACAAAAACAAUAGUUCAAGCUCCUAAAAAAGCAAUUAUAUGUAUGCUGCAUCACUUUGGGGAACUACAGCAAACAAAAUGAGGAGAGCUUGGUAGUACUUGAUUUUUUAUAGUACUACUUGAACCCUUUCUGUUGAAUAUAUUGGAUCCUAUUUAUUGCAACCUCGUAGAUUGUUGGAUGCAUGUGGUCCUUCUCUUGUGCAUAUUCAGUUUUAAUAAAUGGUGAACUGAAUGGAAAAAAUCAUGCCAUCUAUAGUGAAAGUUCAGCAAAAAAGGAGAGCUCAUUUACGGGUAAAAAUUCAUGUACAUCUAUAGGGAAAGUUCAACUAAAAAUAGAGUUCAUUUACAGGUAAUAAAAAAUUGAUGUACAUAUAAUUGGAUCUGUGUGCAAGAAAGGACAAUGGGUUUGAAUUCACACAAAUAAACCAAUUGAUGAACCUCACAAGUUCGGAUAUGAUGACACAUUCAGUGAUCAACCCCUAAACAUUUCGGACAGUGAAAAAUACCUCAGCACAAACGCAAACAUAUAUCAGUACGAGUACUCUAUUUUUUAGACAGGACAAAACAACACAAUGGGUUUCACCUUAUUCAAAAUUACUCUAAAACGGUUGCGAAGUACAGAAAAUGUUCAACAUGAGUAAGUUUCGCAUUUUUGAUAGCUAUCCAACGGUAUAUUAUUUGCCUCAUUUCGACAAACUUAAAAAAAUCGUGUUCGAAAUCGAAUUUAUCCGUAUUCAAAUUCGUAUUAAAACCAUAAGGAAUUAGAAAAAAACUUUCUAUACGAAACAGUUGCGCAUUUUCCAUAGCUUUCCAACGAUCUAUCAGUUGCGUCAAUCCGACAAACUAUUUGCAAAAAACACAAAAAUACAUUUUUUUUCCAAAUUACUUUGAAAUCGUAUAGAAUUUGAAAAAACAUUAGAUACAUGGAAGAAGCGGAUUUUCACCACUUUACAACGCCAUCUUAUUUGCUCAAUUUCGACAAACCAUUUGAAAAUUAAGUCCAAAAUACGAUUCGCGUUUUUGGUUUGGAAAAAAUGUUUUUUCAGAACUGCUCUUACACCAUAAUAUUUUUGCAAAAAUAAAUUAUAUGAUUGUAAUGUAGAUGUCAAGAGCUUUCCAACAAUAUAUUACACGCCCCGUUUCGACAAAAAAAACUGCAAAAAAAUUGAACUAAAGAAGACGAUUGUCAAAGGAAAAUAAAAGUAUCACUUCAACCGCUCGAAUUCAUCAGUUCAACCGCUCAAAUUCAUCAGUUCAAAUGCUCAAAUUCAUCAGUUCAAGUAGGGUAAUGGAAUAAUAUUCUGUUACGCGAAAUAGAAUAGCCCAGAUGUAUAUAUAGGACCGUACUAUUCUAAUCCCAGGAUUAGAAUAACUAUUUGGAUCACGGAGCCAUAUAUAGGAGCAGCGGAGGUGUUCCCGAACUCACAAAAAAAAGAAAUCCCACCCGAACCCCACGUUCCCCACCUCUCCCUCGCUCUCUCCCUGAUCCCCACCGCCGCCAUCCCCGCUGCCGCGCGCCUCCUCCCUCACAGCUCCUCCCCCACGGCCAGCGGGCCUCCUCCCCACGGCCGGCGUGCCUCCCUCCUCCACCCUCGGCCGACGUGGCUCCUCUCAAGCAGUCGGGCCAAAGGCAAGGGAGUUGCUGCCGCCGCCGCCCUCGCCGGCGUCGUCGUCCUAUGAGGCAUGGGACCUCUCCGACAACAAGGUGGCGCCGACCGCGUCUUGGGCCACCCUGCCCAACAGGCGCUGCUGUACCGCCCGCUGCCGCUCAACGUCGGGAGGUGCACCAGCAUCAUCAUCAGGGAGAAGGCCACCGGGGCCAGAGGCGACGCGCUCUACUCGCUCUACACCAACAUGAGCUAAUCGCCGUCCCCCCUUAGCUUUCUGGGCUUCAAAUUUUCCAAAUCCGGGGGAGAGUAGUGUGAUUAGUUGCUGAAAUUUGUGUCAUAAGGAUUCGUGCAUGCCCGUCUCUCUGUUGUGCGAUUGUAGGAGGGGCCCGACACCGGAGGAGGAGAGGGAGGUCGGAGUCCAUCGUGGCGCAAAACCAGGACGGCGUCUUCUGUAGCUUCGACAAGAACUUCCUCAGAACUAUGGGUGCCAAUCUUGUUGGAUCCAAGUACCCGAUUUGGGGCCAGGUACAUGACGUUCCCCUUCAUGAUUCUCGAUGUCGCUCGCCUGGAUUCCAGACUGAUUUACCAUGGUAGACAUGAACCAAUGAUGAGUAUUAAUGGUCGGUAAGGGAGUCCUGGACUAAGGGGUCCUCGGGCGUCCGGCCUGUUGGCCAUGGGCCGGACUGAUGGGCUUUGAAGAUACGAAGACUGAAGACUGCACCCGUGUCCGGAUAGGACUCUCAUUGGCAUGGAAGGUAAGCUUGGCGACUGGAUAUGUGGAUUCCUUUCUUUGUAACCGACCUUAUGUAACCCUAGAUCCUCCCAGUGUCUAUAUAAACCGGAGGACUUAGUCCGGAUAGGGGACUCAUUAUCAUAGUUAUACAAGCUAGGACUCUAGGGUUUAGCCAUUACGAUCUCAAGGUAGAUCAAAUCUUGCAAUACUCAUAUUCAUCAAUAUCAAUCAAGCAGGACGUAGGGUAUUACCUCCAUAGAGAGGGCCCGAACCUAGGUAAAACACCGUGUCCCUUCUCUCCUAUUACUAUCGACCUUACACGCACAGUUCGGGACCCCCUACCCGAGAUCCACCGUUUUUGACACCGACAUUGGUGCUUUCAUUGAGAGUUCCUCUGUGCUGUCGCUAAAGGUUCUAAUGGCCCCUUCAAUCGUCAAUAAUGACACCGUCCAAGGAGAAACUUUUCUCCUCGGACAGAUCUUCGUGUUCGGCGGCUUCGCAUUGCGGGCCAAUUCGCUUGGCCAUCUGGAGCAGAUCGAAAGCUACGCCCUUGGCCAUCAAGUCAGAUUUGGGAGCUUGAACUACGUUGCGGACAUCUGUGGAGACUUGAUAUUCGCCGGAUUCGAGACCGCGGUAGCCGCUCUCGGUCAUCCCGAUGAUCAUGACCUAAAUCUGUCAUCAGACCGCUUCCAGGAGAUCGCUCCUAUAACCAUUCUGGCCUUAGAACUGGAGCAGAAUGCGUCGUCCGAGGACGGGACUGACUGGGAGUGAUCCCCGAACCAUUUCAUUAAAGGCCAUGGUUUCCCACAAUGCUAAUGCUACUAGAAAGGAGCUAGAGGCCAUGAAGCCUCUUGGCUUCUCCAAUUAGCAUGUUUGGCCAGUCCUGAAGCGCUUCCUCAAGCUCUUCAACAAUAACUGGGCUCCCAUCGAGGACGAGUGCUACCGCAUCCUUAUUGACACCAUAUUGGGUGGCAAAAGUAAUGAACCAAUACCUACCACUACACGUCAUGUAAGAAAUGCUACUUCCGUUUAUUUGGUAGCCUUCCUUAAUUAUCACUUGAUGCUCAGCCUUUCCAAUUGCACUUUUCACAUCAGGUGACGUGCGAAAAAGAGUCCAAGGCUCACAACCCAACACGUGGUCAGACCAGAUGACCAACACCUCUCCUGCUCAGUAUGACAAGGAUGUCAGUGAUAAUGAAAACCUCCCUCACAGCAGAGCGGCGGAGUGCAUACUUGCCAUCUACAUUUCGGAGCCCCAUCAGUUCAGUGUGAUCUCUCCCGGUAAGUUCGUGUAUUGCUAUCUCCAGUGUUCAGAAAGUGUAGAAUGGAUGAUUUAUCUCACCUAUGCAGCUCACAAAUCAUAUGCUUUGUACAAAAAAAGAAACAAAACACUAUGUGUAGGAUUUCAUGAUGUAAUUUAUCAUCAGUUCGUAAAGUAAGCACAAAUACAGUUUCAUGUGUGUUACAGAAAAAACAAUUUGGUUUGUAUAUUAUAUAGUAGUUCACUACGCAUGUGUUGAGGUACAAAUCUUGAUCUGUUGGAGGUUCAAUGCGUCACUCCUGGAAGGGACAUUCUCUCAUUAGUAUAAUGCAAUUUGUUAUUAAAAAUAAUAGUGAUUCAGUAUGUAUUAUACGAGAAAUUCAUAAAAAAAGAAGCAAAAAGCAGUGAUUCAAUAUGUAUUAUACGCCCAUUUUUUUAAUUCAGCACAAGGCUUCCAAACCAUGGUUCAGUUUCAGCACAAAAUCUCGGUUCAACAAAACCCAUGCCGGCUUGGAUAUAUUUUUGUAAUCCAACAGAUGUGAAUGCUAGUCUUCUUACCGACUUACCAAUUAAUAAGUUAUUGGACUGACCAAAACUUUCUGUAGUACUAGUUGACAUCUACUAUUCAUGAUCAAAUUUGAGCUAUAAGUUCCAUUUUUCUUCCUUCCCGGUUUGAUACAUAUUUAGGAAUUACCUUUGUUAACUUUGGCAUCCCCCGACGCCUCGCGCCCCCGAAGAGGCCACACGCUGGAUCUAGUAGGGCAACACUGUUGACACCGACGCCGUAGUCCUCCGGUGUCACCCUUCCCGUCCCUGUCCAAAUAUAGGACUGACACCAGUCCAUCUCUUCCUCGCUUCUCCGUCCAAGCUCCUCGUGCCAUGCUUGAUGGUCAUUUCAUCAUUAUAAAACAUAAUUUUCUUUCGGUUCUGAACAUGGACAGUUCUAGGAACAUUGUUGUGCAAACCAAAAGUGUGCGAUGGAUGUUCUCUUCCCAAUUUUUGUGUUUUGGAGUAAAUCAACAUAGAUUGUGGACAAAGUAGGCUCUAAAUUUUUGCACUGGAUUUAGAGAUAUGAACAAUGAUUGAUUUUGAUCAGUACUUGGUUGUGUGAUAUUUUUGAAACUAGGACGACCUCGUCCUUCGUCUGCUUCUCAUUUCCAGCCACAUCCAGGACGACCUAGAUUUGCUGCCACUAGCUGUUGGUGCACCUCAUGUUAGCUCCUAGCUGUUACCUAGUGUGCUUGAUGCUACCGCUACAAAGAAGGUAAUAAAAGAAUAUUCGCUGCUUCUAUUGUCUUGCAAGUUAAGGAAGGGUCUGAUGUUGUGCGGGCAUGCAUGGUGUGUGCUCUGUGUGUGUUAUUUGUGCGAGAUGUGAGCUCUGUGAUGCUCUAAAUAGGAGAAUUUGUGUUUAUUGAGAUACCAUAGAUGGGUGCCAUUAGUCUCCCAUUUUUAUUUGGGCUUAUCAAAGUACACCAGGGAGAGCUAUUAUGUACGGAAGUUCAUGUAUUGAUGCCCCCCGGAGUCCAUGUAGCUCUCCUGUCGUGCUGCCCUCAUCGGCCUCGGCUAUGGACGUCAGUCCAAUCCCGUCGCCCCAGGCCGUUCACUGUCGCAGUGACCAGGGCGUUCAUAGAAAAUGUUGAUUAUAUUGAUAAUUAAAACUAGUCUUUGCUCACUUUUGAAUUGAAAAAGAAAAGGAGUCUCUGUAAUAAUAAGUUCAUAGAAAAAACAUAAACAAAAUAAACAAAAAACAUGAAACACAAAAAAUCCAUGAAAUAUACCGGGAAAACAUAGUAAGUUCUAAGUAAAUAAAUAUAGAAGUUCAUAUUUUGAAACGAAUGAAGUAUUUGGGAACUAAAAUGAAGUAUUUCAAAGUACAGAACUCCUGUUUAGGUUUCUUUGUGUACUUCUAAUGUUACUAUGCAUGAUCUUGUCGUUAUUUUUACAUGUUUUACAUGAUUAUGGUUAUUUCGACCUUGACAAAUUUCAUUUCAUCUUGUAUCCUUUUUUUCCGCUCAUCUUAUAGGUCAAAGGAGCUCCCUUCAGUUCAAUGGAUUCAAGAAAAUAAUCGCUGCCACUACAUCCUGAGUUCAAGGGAUUCCUUAGGGGCCUUCUACACCGUCUUGCUAAUGUUGCCAUUGCUGGACGCCACAACCAUGCUCGUCGUUCUUAUGCUGCCAUUCACAUACUGCUCCCUGCUUCACUCCACUGAGAUCCAUAGGAAUAAGUUAUAUUCAGUUCGCCACUUUUACAAUUGAUGCUCCUAUGUUAACAAAAACAAUAGUUCAAGCUCCUAAAAAAGCAAUUAUAUGUAUGCUGCAUCACUUUGGGGAACUACAGCAAACAAAAUGAGGAGAGCUUGGUAGUACUUGAUUUUUUAUAGUACUACUUGAACCCUUUCUGUUGAAUAUAUUGGAUCCUAUUUAUUGCAACCUCGUAG